This 517-nucleotide ribosomal RNA is filed under the name Bacillus subtilis. RNAcentral's name for it is "bacterial SSU rRNA". It matches the Rfam family "Bacterial small subunit ribosomal RNA", at positions 58 to 557 of the family's 1533-position model. The record is from RNAcentral. Lineage: Bacteria; Bacillati; Bacillota; Bacilli; Caryophanales; Bacillaceae.
CAAGUCGAGCGGACAGAUGGGAGCUUGCUCCCUGAUGUUAGCGGCGGACGGGUGAGUAACACGUGGGUAACCUGCCUGUAAGACUGGGAUAACUCCGGGAAACCGGGGCUAAUACCGGAUGCUUGUUUGAACCGCAUGGUUCAAACAUAAAAGGUGGCUUCGGCUACCACUUACAGAUGGACCCGCGGCGCAUUAGCUAGUUGGUGAGGUAAUGGCUCACCAAGGCAACGAUGCGUAGCCGACCUGAGAGGGUGAUCGGCCACACUGGGACUGAGACACGGCCCAGACUCCUACGGGAGGCAGCAGUAGGGAAUCUUCCGCAAUGGACGAAAGUCUGACGGAGCAACGCCGCGUGAGUGAUGAAGGUUUUCGGAUCGUAAAGCUCUGUUGUUAGGGAAGAACAAGUACCGUUCGAAUAGGGCGGUACCUUGACGGUACCUAACCAGAAAGCCACGGCUAACUACGUGCCAGCAGCCGCGGUAAUACGUAGGUGGCAAGCGUUGUCCGGAAUUAUGGG